CCUACGUGUGGCAGCAGUGAGGAAUAUUGGUCAAUGGCCGGAAGGCUGAACCAGCCAUGCCGCGUGAAGGUCAGUGCCCUAUGGGCGUUAAACUUCUUUUGUGCGGGAGCAAUAAUGGUCACGUUGGGCGAGACGAGAGUACCGUACGAAUAAGCAGCGGCUAACUCCGUGCCAGCCGCCCCGGUAAUACGGGGGAUGCAAGCGUUAUCCGGAUUUAUUGGGUUUAAAGGGUGCGUAGGCUGUGAGGUAAGUCAGCGGUGAAAUGCCCCCGCUCAACGGGGUGAAGUGCCAUUGAUACUGGCUUGCUGGAAUGCGGAUGAGGUGGGAGGAAUGUGUGGUGUAGCGGUGAAAUGCAUAGAUAUCACACAGAACACCGAUUGCGAAGGCAUCUCACGAAUCUGCGAUUGACGCUGAUGCACGAAAGCGUGGGUAUCAAACAGGAUUAGAUACCCGAGUAGUC
RNAcentral lists this ribosomal RNA (460 nucleotides) under uncultured bacterium. RNAcentral's name for it is "partial 16S ribosomal RNA". It matches the Rfam family "Bacterial small subunit ribosomal RNA", at positions 338 to 795 of the family's 1533-position model. The record is from RNAcentral.